UACAGAGGUCUCAAGCGUUGUUCGGAUUCAUUGGGCGUAAAGGGUGCGUAGGCGGCGCGGUAAGUCGGGUGUGAAAUCUCGGGGCUUAACUCCGAAACUGCAUUCGAUACUGCCGUGCUUGAGGACUGGAGAGGAGACUGGAAUUUACGGUGUAGCGGUGAAAUGCGUAGAUAUCGUAAGGAAGACCAGUGGCGGAGGCGGGUCUCUGGACAGUUCCUGACGCUGAGGCACGAAGGCCAGGGGAGCAAACGGG
RNAcentral lists this ribosomal RNA (253 nucleotides) under uncultured bacterium. Its description in RNAcentral is "partial 16S ribosomal RNA". It matches the Rfam family "Bacterial small subunit ribosomal RNA", at positions 524 to 776 of the family's 1533-position model. The record is from RNAcentral.